Molecule: long non-coding RNA, 353 nt
Filed under: Mytilus galloprovincialis (Mediterranean mussel)
Lineage: Eukaryota; Metazoa; Mollusca; Bivalvia; Mytilida; Mytilidae
Source: RNAcentral
GAAAGCUCAAGUGCCACUGUCUUGUCAUUUUUGUAAUGAACAUACAGUACAAUGGAAUUGUGAAGAAUGUGAUGUAUUCAUGUGUACGUCGUGUAAGGAGAAAAUCCAUCAGCGACUAAAAUCUACUCAGGAUCACGAAAUCGUCUCUUUUUCCAAUAUUUCAAAGGAGAAUUUUCCUCAAAGGGAAGUUGCAUCGGAGGUAAUUUCUUCCGUUUUCAAUUACUACACAACCGAAGUACCAGUGAUCAACUCUUUGUUGUGCUCUGGUGAUGAUAUUAUAUAUUUCAUGUGUAAUAAACUAGAAGAGAAAUUUCGAUUACUGAAGGGGAAGAUGCUCAAGUAUUUGACAUGGC